GUCUAACCUGCCCAAUGAAUAGUUUAAUGGCCGCAGUAUUUUGACUGUGCAAAGGUAGCAUAAUCAUUAGUUUCUUAAUUAGGAACUGGAAUGAAAGGUUGAACGAGAAAAUAACUGUCUCUUUAUAAAUUAUUUAGAAUUUUAUUUUUAAGUUAAAAAGCUUAAAUUUUUUUAAAAGACGAGAAGACCCUAUAGAGUUUUAUAUAAUUUUAUUUCAUGGUUUAAAUUGAAUUACAUAAAAAUUUUAUUUAAAUUUAUAUUUGAUUGGGGUGAUUAAAAAAUUUAAUAAACUUUUUUUUUAUAAAAACAUUAAUUUAUGAUUUAUUGAUCCAUUUUUUAUGAUUAUAAGAUUAAAUUACCUUAGGGAUAACAGCGUAAUUUCUUUUUAGAGUUCAAAUCGAUAAAGAAGUUUGCGACCUCGAUGUUGGAUUAAAAUUUAAUUUUGGUGUAGAAGCUAGAAAAAUUAGGUCUGUUCGACCUUUAAAAUUUUACAUGAUCUGAGUUUAAACCGGUGUAAGCCAGGUUGGUUUCUAUCUUUAAAUAUAGUAAAUAUUUUAGUACGAAAGGACCAGAUAUAAGUAAAAUUUAU
This 589-nucleotide ribosomal RNA is filed under the name Boreophilia hyperborea. RNAcentral's name for it is "partial 16S ribosomal RNA". It matches the Rfam family "Bacterial large subunit ribosomal RNA", at positions 1852 to 2712 of the family's 2925-position model. Lineage: Eukaryota; Metazoa; Arthropoda; Insecta; Coleoptera; Staphylinidae. The record is from RNAcentral.